UUGGAGGGCAAGUCUGGUGCCAGCAGCCGCGGUAAUUCCAGCUCCAAUAGCGUAUAUUAAAGUUGUUGCAGUUAAAAAGCUCGUAGUUGAAUUUUAGGCCUGGCCGGGCGGUCCGUCUUUGGCGAGUACUGUUCUGUGUCGGGUCUUACCUUCUGGUAAACCGGCAUGUUCUUUUAUUGUGUGUGCCGUGGGAACCAGACCAUUACCUUGAAAAAAUUAGAGUGUUUAAAGCGGGCUUUUGCUUGAAUAGAUUAGCAUGGAAUAAUAAAAUAGGACGUUGGUUCUAUUUUGUUGGUCUAGGACCACCGUAAUGAUUAAUAGGGAUAGUUGGGGGCAUUAGUAUUCAAUUGUCAGAGGUGAAAUUCUUGGAUUUAUUGAAGACUAACUAUUGCGAAAGCAUUUGCCAAGGAUGUUUUCAUUAAUCAAGAACGAAAGUUAGGGGAUCGAAGACGAUCAGAUACCGUCGUAGUCUUAACCAUAAACUAUGCCGACUAGGAAUCGGGCGUCGUUAUUUUCACGACUCG
This 524-nucleotide ribosomal RNA is filed under the name uncultured Glomeromycotina. RNAcentral describes it as "SSU rRNA". It matches the Rfam family "Eukaryotic small subunit ribosomal RNA", at positions 548 to 1078 of the family's 1831-position model. The record is from RNAcentral. Lineage: Eukaryota; Fungi; Glomeromycota.